GAAAACUACCAGCGCAAGCUCGAAACUUAAAGGACUUGACGGUGCUUCAGAUGCCCUAGAGGAGCCUGUCCUGUAACCGAUAAUCCCCGUUAAACCUUACCUUCUUUAGCAUUCAGUCUAUAUACCGCCGUCUUCAGUUCACUCCUUGAGGAAGCAUUAGUGAGCAAAAUCGGCUUAAGCCCAAAACGUCAGGUCGAGGCAUAGCAUACAAGAAGCGAAGAGAUGGGCUACAUUUCCUAAAAGGACCUGCGGAUAGAGUUUUGAAACAGACUCUUGAAGGAGGAUUUAGCAGUAAGUAAAAAAUAGAGCGUUUUACUGAAGAUUUUCUGAAGCGCGUACACACCGCCCGUCCCUCCCUUCUAAUUUUACAACCUAAAAAAUAAAUAAAACCUUACAUUAAUAAAGAAGGGACAAGUCGUAACAUGGUAAGUGUACUGGAAAGUGCACUUGGAUAAAU
This 457-nucleotide ribosomal RNA is filed under the name Pterolebias longipinnis. RNAcentral's name for it is "partial 12S ribosomal RNA". It matches the Rfam family "Bacterial small subunit ribosomal RNA", at positions 875 to 1533 of the family's 1533-position model. The record is from RNAcentral. Lineage: Eukaryota; Metazoa; Chordata; Actinopteri; Cyprinodontiformes; Rivulidae.